RNAcentral lists this small RNA (559 nucleotides) under Pongo abelii (Sumatran orangutan). RNAcentral's name for it is "processed transcript". The record is from RNAcentral. Lineage: Eukaryota; Metazoa; Chordata; Mammalia; Primates; Hominidae.
AGUUUACUUCCUGCGUCCCCGGACGCCGUAGGUGGAAAGGCGAACCCUGAGUGGAGGACGUUCCCACUGCCUAAAGAAUGAUUGACUGUAACUGCACUUUUGUGAGUUUAUAAAUAUACCACGGAGGGUAACGAAGCUACAGAAGAAUGGAAGAAGACAGCCUGGAAGACUCAAACCUUCCUCCGCAAGUUUGGCAUUCCGAGAUGACGGUGUCAGUGACAGGCGAACCACCGAGUGCCGUAGAAGAAGAAGGAACACCUAAAGAGACGGACGUAGAAAUCAUCCCAGAAAUCCCAGAAAUCCUAGAGCCACUGUCCCUUCCAGAUGUGCUGAGGAUCUCGGCAGUUCUGGAGGACACCACAGACCAGCUCUCUAUUCUGAACUACAUCAUGCCUGUUCAGUACGAAGGGAGACAGAGCGUCUGCGUGGUAUAUACCCACUCACCAUGACAGAGAAAUGAAUCUAGAAGGAACGAAUCUAGACAAACUUCCAAUGGCCUCAACAAUCACAAAAAUACCCAGUCCAUUAAUAACUGAGGAAGGACCCAACUUGCCAGAAA